Oncorhynchus keta (chum salmon) is the source of this 2619-nucleotide RNA transcript. It is a transcript of the gene named proline-rich protein 36-like, with no coding region annotated. The record is from RefSeq and is a predicted model, not a curated record. NCBI's taxonomy places the organism in Eukaryota, Metazoa, Chordata, Actinopteri, Salmoniformes, Salmonidae. The transcript is spliced from 10 exons.
UUCCUCUACCCUCCACUCUCUCUCCUCCUAACCUCCUAAAGAUGUUCCUCUACCCUCCACUCUCUCUCCCCCUAAAGAUGUUCCUCUACCCUCCACUCUCUCUCCUCCUAAAGAUGUUCCUCUACCCUCCACUCUCUCUCCUCCUAAAGAUGUUCCUCUACCCUCCACUCUCUCUCCCCCUAAAGAUGUUCCUCUACCCUCCACUCUCUCUCCUCCUAAAGAUGUUCCUCUACCCUCCACUCUCUCUCCCCCUAAAGAUGUUCCUCUACCCCCCACUCUCUCUCCUCCUAAAGAUGUUCCUCUACCCUCCACUCUCUCUCCCCCUAAAGAUGUUCCUCUACCCUCCACUCUCUCUCCUCCUAAAGAUGUUCCUCUACACUCCACUCUCUCUCCCCCUAAAGGUGUUCCUCUACCCUCCACUCUCUCUCCUCCUAAAGAUGUUCCUCUACCCUCCACUCUCUCCUCCUAAAGAUGUUCCUCUACCCUCCACUCUCUCUCCCCCUAAAGGUGUUCCUCUACCCUCCACUCUCUCUCCUCCUAAAGAUGUUCCUCUACCCUCCACUCUCUCCUCCUAAAGAUGUUCCUCUACCCUCCACUCUCUCUCCCCCUAAAGGUGUUCCUCUACCCUCCACUCUCUCUCCUCCUAAAGAUGUUCCUCUACCCUCCACUCUCUCCUCCUGAAGAUGUCCCUCUACCCUCCACUCUCUCUCCCCCUAAAGAUGUUCCUCUACCCUCCACUCUCUCUCCUCCUAAAGAUGUUCCUCUACCCUCCACUCUCUCUCCUCCUAAAGAUGUUCCUCUACACUCCACUCUCUCUCCUCCUAAAGAUGUUCCUCUACCCUCCACUCUCUCUCCCCCUAAAGAUGUUCCUCUACCCUCCACUCUCUCUCCUCCUAAAGAUGUUCCUCUACCCUCCACUCUCUCUCCUCCUAAAGAUGUUCCUCUACCCUCCACUCUCUCUCCUCCUAACCUCCUAAAGAUGUCCCUCUACCCUCCACUCUCUCUCCUGAAGAUGUUCCUCUACCCUCCACUCUCUCUCCUCCUGAAGAUGUUCCUCUACCCUCCACUCUCUCUCCUCCUAAAGGUGUUCCUCUACCCUCCACUCUCUCUCCCCCUAAAGAUGUUCCUCUACCCUCCACUCUCUCUCCUCCUAAAGAUGUUCCUCUACCCUCCACUCUCUCUCCUCCUAAAGGUGUUCCUCUACCCUCCACUCUCUCUCCUCCUAAAGAUGUUCCUCUACCCUCCACUCUCUCUCCUCCUAAAGAUGUUCCUCUACCCUCCACUCUCUCUCCUCCUAAAGAUGUUCCUCUACCCUCCACUCUCUCUCCCCCUAAAGAUGUUCCUCUACCCUCCACUCUCUCUCCUCCUAAAGAUGUUCCUCUACCCUCCACUCUCUCUUCUCCUAAAGGUGUUCCUCUACCCUCCACUCUCUCUCCUCCUAACCUCCUAAAGAUGUCCCUCUACCCUCCACUCUCUCUCCUGAAGAUGUUCCUCUACCCUCCACUCUCUCUCCUCCUGAAGAUGUUCCUCUACCCUCCACUCUCUCUCCCCCUAAAGAUGUUCCUCUACCCUCCACUCUCUCUCCUCCUAAAGGUGUUCCUCUACCCUCCACUCUCUCCUCCUAACCUCCUAAAGAUGUCCCUCUACCCUCCACUCUCUCUCCUCCUAAAGAUGUCCCUCUACCCUCCACUCUCUCUCCUCCUAAAGGUGUUCCUCUACCCUCCACUCUCUCUCCUCCUAAAGAUGUUCCUCUACACUCCACUCUCUCUCCCCCUAAAGGUGUUCCUCUACCCUCCACUCUCUCUCCUCCUAAAGAUGUUCCUCUACCCUCCACUCUCUCCUCCUAAAGAUGUUCCUCUACCCUCCACUCUCUCCUCCUAACCUCCUAAAGAUGUUCCUCUACCCUCCACUCUCUCUCCCCCUAAAGGUGUUCCUCUACCCUCCACUCUCUCUCCUCCUAAAGAUGUUCCUCUACCCUCCACUCUCUCCUCCUAAAGAUGUUCCUCUACCCUCCACUCUCUCCUCCUAACCUCCUAAAGAUGUUCCUCUACCCUCCACUCUCUCUCCCCCUAAAGGUGUUCCUCUACCCUCCACUCUCUCUCCUCCUAAAGAUGUUCCUCUACCCUCCACUCUCUCUCCUCCUAAAGGUGUUCCUCUACCCUCCACUCUCUCUCCUCCUAACCUCCUAAAGAUGUCCCUCUACCCUCCACUCUCUCUCCUGAAGAUGUUCCUCUACCCUCCACUCUCUCUCCUCCUAAAGAUGUUCCUCUACCCUCCACUCUCUCUCCUCCUAAAGAUGUUCCUCUACCCUCCACUCUCUCUCCUCCUAAAGAUGUUCCUCUACCCUCCACUCUCUCUCCCCCUAAAGAUGUUCCUCUACCCUCCACUCUCUCUCCUCCUAAAGAUGUUCCUCUACCCUCCACUCUCUCUCCUCCUAAAGGUGUUCCUCUACCCUCCACUCUCUGUCCUCCUAAAGAUGUUCCUCUACCCUCCACUCUCUCUCCUCCUAUAGGUGUCCCUCUACCCUCCACUCUCUCUCCUCCUGAAGAUGUUCCUCUACCCUCCACUCUCUCCUCCUAAAGAUGUUCCUCUACCCUCCACUCUCUCCUCCUAACCUCC